This is a long non-coding RNA of Orcinus orca (killer whale), 671 nucleotides long. RefSeq lists it as uncharacterized. The record is from RefSeq and is a predicted model, not a curated record. The transcript has 2 exons. NCBI's taxonomy places the organism in Eukaryota, Metazoa, Chordata, Mammalia, Artiodactyla, Delphinidae.
CUCGAGAUCUGAUUGACUUUGGAGAACCUGAUAUUAAGACUCCAGAAAGAUGUCUUCUCAACAUCAGCAGUGCAAGCAGCCCUGCCAGCCACCACCAGUGUGCACACCAAAAUGCCAUGACCCUUGCCCACCUUGCAAGUGUCCAGACCCUUGCCCACCUUGCAAGUGUCCAGACCCUUGCCCACCUAUAAAGUGCCCUGACCCAUGCGUGCCUCAGCAGUGCAAGCAGAAAUGCCCUCCUGGGGCACCUGUUCAACAUUGCUAGCAGAAGUGGCCACCCAAGAGUAUGUAAGAGCUUGAGCUUUUAUCUGCAUCUGGAAAGAAUGACGACAUUCAGCUCAACUAGUUCCAGAGCUCCACCUUCCUCUUCUCUUCAAAGCCUAUCAUGGAUACGGAAGAAGCUUCUCCACCCUUCAGCCUCAGUAUGCCAGUGGUGCUUCCUGACAGACAGAGGUUGCUUUCCUGCGGGUGCUGUACUGCUUCCCUCUGGGAGAUGCCCAAGAAAGCAUCGCAGAGCCUCUGAAGGAAGAGCAGCCGCUCUCCUCCUGGGCGCCCUCUGAGGAUUCUCUCACUGUCUUCUGUGUCGGUCGGUCACCUGGGCAUGGGUUUCUACCAGCUGAGCAAUUGUUACUUAUCCUCCACGUCCUGAAUAAAAUACAGUUCUUUUGUGA